CUUCACUAACGGUGCUGCUCAUACUCCAGGACUGGAAAACAAGCAUACAGAAGAAAAGUCAAAAGGAGGAUAACAGAAUAUUGGAAGAAAUGACACCCUGUCAACUGAAAGUUGAGAUCCAGUAUUCCAUUGUGAAUUGUGCAUCAUCAAUGGAACUCAUAUAGCCUUCAAGGUAUGACAGCAACUAAUCUAUGAAAAUCAUCAACAGGAAGGACUUCCCUUCUCACUGCAUCUAACUCAAAUAGAGGAAGAGAUUCCUUCACGUGUGCACUCACUUCCUUGGUAUCUGCCACGUUCUCUUCAGCAUUUGUCCUUCGAGGCUGCCUCAGGUCUUCACUCCAAUCCCCAAUGUGCAUGGAGAGAUCUUAUGGGGAAAGGAAUAUCCCCUUAAGUGAUUUCUACUGAUCUCUCUGCAGGGUACCCAGGCUCAGAAAUGACCAGUGGCACUUUCUUCCCAAGAGAACGACUGAGCAGAUUAUCAAGCUUUGGAAGAAACGGCUGUGGGGGCUGGAAUGGUUGAGUGGUGCCUUCCAAUUUUCUCUUGGAUUACUUCAGUUUUGACACGGUGCACUGCUGUAUUUAUGAGGACAUUGAGGUCCUGGAAGGAAACCAUUCAUCAGGAAAGGAGCAAGAGGUGAAAGAGAAGGAAGUUUUGAAUAUAAAGGGAAAUGCAAAAAAAGAUUGCCACCUCUGAAGCAAAACAAGCUGGUUUAGCCACAGCAUGGAUUAUAAAAAGCUUGUGAUGUUGUCACGACAUGUGUGGCCUCCUGAUUCAGGAACAAUUCGAGUGGGUCGCUCUGACCCAGGUUGUGGGGCAUGGCAUUGGAGGAAAUCUGAGAUAACUGUGCUGGCACCUGCUAUGGAC
Long non-coding RNA from Stegostoma tigrinum, 865 nucleotides. RefSeq lists it as uncharacterized. The transcript is spliced from 3 exons. NCBI's taxonomy places the organism in Eukaryota, Metazoa, Chordata, Chondrichthyes, Orectolobiformes, Stegostomatidae. The record is from RefSeq and is a predicted model, not a curated record.